CAUGGAGUUUGAUCCUGGCUCAGAUUGAACGCUGGCGGAAUGCUUUACACAUGCAAGUCGAACGGUAGAGGGGGCAACCCCUCGAGAGUGGCGAACGGGUGAGUAAUAUAUCGGAACGUGCCCAGUCGUGGGGGAUAACGUAGUGAAAAUUACGCUAAUACCGCAUACGAUCUAUGGAUGAAAGCGGGGGAUCGCAAGACCUCGCGCGACUGGAGCGGCCGAUAUCAGAUUAGGUAGUUGGUGAGGUAAAGGCUCACCAAGCCAACGAUCUGUAGCUGGUCUGAGAGGACGACCAGCCACACUGGAACUGAGACACGGUCCAGACUCGUACGGGAGCAGCAGUGGGGUAAUUUGGACAAUGGGCGAAAGCCUGAUCCCAGCCCAUG
This 386-nucleotide ribosomal RNA is filed under the name uncultured Limnohabitans sp. Its description in RNAcentral is "bacterial SSU rRNA". It matches the Rfam family "Bacterial small subunit ribosomal RNA", at positions 1 to 396 of the family's 1533-position model. Lineage: Bacteria; Pseudomonadati; Pseudomonadota; Betaproteobacteria; Burkholderiales; Comamonadaceae. The record is from RNAcentral.